Molecule: ribosomal RNA, 379 nt
Filed under: uncultured Pseudomonas sp.
Lineage: Bacteria; Pseudomonadati; Pseudomonadota; Gammaproteobacteria; Pseudomonadales; Pseudomonadaceae
Description: bacterial SSU rRNA
Rfam family: Bacterial small subunit ribosomal RNA
Source: RNAcentral
AUGGAUUGGUGCCUUCGGGAACUCUGACACAGGUGCUGCAUGGCUGUCGUCAGCUCGUGUCGUGGGAUCGUUGGGUUAAGUCCCGUAACGAGCGCAACCCUUGUCCUUAGUUACCAGCACGUUAUGGUGGGCACUCUAAGGAGACUGCCGGUGGACAAACCGGAGGAAGGUGGGAUGACGUCAAGUCAUCAUGGCCCUUACGGCCUGGGCUACACACGUGCUACAAUGGUCGGUACAAAGGGUUGCCAAGCCGCGAGGUGGAGCUAAUACCCAUAAAACCGAUCGUAGUCCGGAUCGCAGUCUGCAACUCGACUGCGUGAAGUCGGAAUCGCUAGUAAUCGUGAAUCAGAAUGUCACGGUGAAUACGUUCCCGGGCCUU